GCCUGGCAGGCUCAGUGGGCAGAGCUUGAGACUCUUGAUCUCGGGGUUGUGAGUUCGAGCCCCACGUUUGGUG
RNAcentral lists this transfer RNA (73 nucleotides) under Felis catus (domestic cat). It matches the Rfam family "tRNA". Rfam says of the family: Transfer RNA (tRNA) molecules are approximately 80 nucleotides in length. The record is from Rfam by way of RNAcentral. Lineage: Eukaryota; Metazoa; Chordata; Mammalia; Carnivora; Felidae. RNAcentral also lists the same sequence under 2 other names.